AUUGAACGCUGGCGGCAUGCUUUACACAUGCAAGUCGAACGGUAACAGGGUGCUUGCACCGCCGACGAGUGGCGAACGGGUGAGUAAUGCGUCGGAACGCACCGAGUAGUGGGGGAUAACGCAGCGAAAGCUGUGCUAAUACCGCAUACGCUCUGAGGAGGAAAGCGGGGGACCUUCGGGCCUCGCGUUAUUCGAGCGGCCGACGUCUGAUUAGCUAGUAGGUGAGGUAAGAGCUCACCUAGGCGACGAUCAGUAGCGGGUCUGAGAGGAUGAUCCGCCACACUGGGACUGAGACACGGCCCAGACUCCAACGGGAGGCAGCAGUGGGGAAUUUUGGACAAUGGGCGCAAGCCUGAUCCAGCCAUGCCGCGUGUCUGAAGAAGGCCUUCGGGUUGUAAAGGACUUUUGUCAGGGAGGAAAUCCUUAGCGCUAAUACCGUUGAGGGAUGACGGUACCUGAAGAAUAAGCACCGGCUAACUACGUGCCAGCCGCCGCCGUAA
RNAcentral lists this ribosomal RNA (500 nucleotides) under uncultured bacterium. Its description in RNAcentral is "partial 16S ribosomal RNA". It matches the Rfam family "Bacterial small subunit ribosomal RNA", at positions 30 to 523 of the family's 1533-position model. The record is from RNAcentral.